RNAcentral lists this ribosomal RNA (528 nucleotides) under uncultured Actinomycetes bacterium. RNAcentral describes it as "bacterial SSU rRNA". It matches the Rfam family "Bacterial small subunit ribosomal RNA", at positions 104 to 645 of the family's 1533-position model. Lineage: Bacteria; Bacillati; Actinomycetota; Actinomycetes. The record is from RNAcentral.
GGCUGAGUAACACGUUGAAUAACCUGCCCUCAAUUUCGGAAUAACCCAGGGAAACCUGGGCUAAUACCGGAUACGUAAACCUGUGGCAUCACAUGGUUUUGGAAAGUUUUUCGAUUGAGGAUGGAUUCGCGGCCUAUCAGCUUGUUGGUGAGGUAAUGGCUCACCAAGGCGACGACGGGUAGCCGGCCUGAGAGGGUGGACGGCCACACUGGGACUGAGACACGGCCCAGACUCCUACGGGAGGCAGCAGUGGGGAAUAUUGCGCAAUGGACGAAAGUCUGACGCAGCGACGCCUCGUGAGGGACGAAGGUCUUCGGAUUGUAAACCUCUUUCAGCAGGGACGAAGCGAAAGUGACGGUACCUGCAGAAGAAGCACCGGCUAACUAUGUGCCAGCAGCCGCGGUAAUACAUAUGGUGCGAGCGUUGUCCGGAUUUAUUGGGCGUAAAGAGUUCGUAGGCGGUUUUUCGCGUCGGAUGUGAAAACUCAGGGCUCAACCCUGAGCCUGCAUUCGACACGGGAAGACUCGA